UUAAGCGACUAAGCGUACACGGUGGAUGCCCUGGCAGUCAGAGGCGAUGAAGGACGUGCUAAUCUGCGAAAAGCGUCGGUAAGGUGAUAUGAACCGUUAUAACCGGCGAUGUCCGAAUGGGGAAACCCAGUGCAAUUCGUUGCACUAUCGUUAACUGAAUACAUAGGUUAACGAGGCGAACCGGGGGAACUGAAACAUCUAAGUACCCCGAGGAAAAGAAAUCAACCGAGAUUCCCCCAGUAGCGGCGAGCGAACGGGGAGCAGCCCAGAGUCUGAAUCAGCUUGUGUGUUAGUGGAACGGUCUGGAAAGUCCGACGGUACAGGGUGAUAGUCCCGUACACCAAAAUGCACAGGUUGUGAACUCGAAGAGUAGGGCGGGACACGUGGUAUCCUGUCUGAAUAUGGGGGGACCAUCCUCCAAGGCUAAAUACUCCUGACUGACCGAUAGUGAACCAGUACCGUGAGGGAAAGGCGAAAAGAACCCCGGCGAGGGGAGUGAAAAAGAACCUGAAACCGUGUACGUACAAGCAGUGGGAGCACCUUCGGGUGUGACUGCGUACCUUUUGUAUAAUGGGUCAGCGACUUAUAUUCUGUAGCAAGGUUAACCGUAUAGGGGAGCCGCAGGGAAACCGAGUCUUAACUGGGCGUUAAGUUGCAGGGUAUAGACCCGAAACCCGGUGAUCUAGCCAUGGGCAGGUUGAAGGUUGGGUAACACUAACUGGAGGACCGAACCGACUAAUGUUGAAAAAUUAGCGGAUGACUUGUGGCUGGGGGUGAAAGGCCAAUCAAACCGGGAGAUAGCUGGUUCUCCCCGAAAGCUAUUUAGGUAGCGCCUCGUGAAUUCAUCUUCGGGGGUAGAGCACUGUUUCGGCUAGGGGGUCAUCCCGACUUACCAACCCGAUGCAAACUACGAAUACCGAAGAAUGUUAUCACGGGAGACACACGGCGGGUGCUAACGUCCGUCGUGAAGAGGGAAACAACCCAGACCGCCAGCUAAGGUCCCAAAGUCAUGGUUAAGUGGGAAACGAUGUGGGAAGGCACAGACAGCCAGGAUGUUGGCUUAGAAGCAGCCAUCAUUUAAAGAAAGCGUAAUAGCUCACUGGUCGAGUCGGCCUGCGCGGAAGAUGUAACGGGGCUAAACCAUGCACCGAAGCUGCGGCAGCGACACUAUGUGUUGUUGGGUAGGGGAGCGUUCUGUAAGCCUGCGAAGGUGACCUGUGAGGGUUGCUGGAGGUAUCAGAAGUGCGAAUGCUGACAUAAGUAACGAUAAAGCGGGUGAAAAGCCCGCUCGCCGGAAGACCAAGGGUUCCUGUCCAACGUUAAUCGGGGCAGGGUGAGUCGACCCCUAAGGCGAGGCCGAAAGGCGUAGUCGAUGGGAAACAGGUUAAUAUUCCUGUACUUGGUGUUACUGCGAAGGGGGGACGGAGAAGGCUAUGUUAGCCGGGCGACGGUUGUCCCGGUUUAAGCAUGUAGGCUGGUURUCCAGGCAAAUCCGGAUAAUCAAGGCUGAGGUGUGAUGACGAGGCACUACGGUGCUGAAGUAACAAAUGCCCUGCUUCCAGGAAAAGCCUCUAAGCAUCAGGUAACAUYAAAUCGUACCCCAAACCGACACAGGUGGUCAGGUAGAGAAUACCAAGGCGCUUGAGAGAACUCGGGUGAAGGAACUAGGCAAAAUGGUGCCGUAACUUCGGGAGAAGGCACGCUGGUGUGUAGGUGAAGYCCCUGCGGRUGGAGCUGAGACCAGUCGAAGAUACCAGCUGGCUGCAACUGUUUAUUAAAAACACAGCACUGUGCAAACACGAAAGUGGACGUAUACGGUGUGACGCCUGCCCGGUGCCGGAAGGUUAAUUGAUGGGGUUAUCCGUAAGGAGAAGCUCUUGAUCGAAGCCCCGGUAAACGGCGGCCGUAACUAUAACGGUCCUAAGGUAGCGAAAUUCCUUGUCGGGUAAGUUCCGACCUGCACGAAUGGCGUAAUGAUGGCCAGGCUGUCUCCACCCGAGACUCAGUGAAAUUGAACUCGCUGUGAAGAUGCAGUGUACCCGCGGCAAGACGGAAAGACCCCGUGAACCUUUACUAUAGCUUGACACUGAACAUUGAGCCUUGAUGUGUAGGAUAGGUGGGAGGCUUUGAAGCGUGGACGCCAGUCUGCGUGGAGCCAACCUUGAAAUACCACCCUUUAAUGUUUGAUGUUCUAACGUUGGCCCCUKACCGGGGUUGCGGACAGUGUCUGGUGGGUAGUUUGACUGGGGCGGUCUCCUCCCAAAGCGUAACGGAGGAGCACGAAGGUUAGCUAAUCCUGGUCGGACAUCAGGAGGUUAGUGCAAUGGCAUAAGCUAGCUUGACUGCGAGCGUGACGGCGCGAGCAGGUGCGAAAGCAGGUCAUAGUGAUCCGGUGGUUCUGAAUGGAAGGGCCAUCGCUCAACGGAUAAAAGGUACUCCGGGGAUAACAGGCUGAUACCGCCCAAGAGUUCAUAUCGACGGCGGUGUUUGGCACCUCGAUGUCGGCUCAUCACAUCCUGGGGCUGAAGUAGGUCCCAAGGGUAUGGCUGUUCGCCAUUUAAAGUGGUACGCGAGCUGGGUUUAGAACGUCGUGAGACAGUUCGGUCCCUAUCUGCCGUGGGCGCUGGAGAAUUGAGGGGGGCUGCUCCUAGUACGAGAGGACCGGAGUGGACGCAUCACUGGUGUUCGGGUUGUCAUGCCAAUGGCACUGCCCGGUAGCUAAAUGCGGAAGAGAUAAGUGCUGAAAGCAUCUAAGCACGAAACUUGCCCCGAGAUGAGUUCUCCCUGAGACUUUAAG
Molecule: ribosomal RNA, 2797 nt
Filed under: Klebsiella pneumoniae
Lineage: Bacteria; Pseudomonadati; Pseudomonadota; Gammaproteobacteria; Enterobacterales; Enterobacteriaceae
Description: 23S ribosomal RNA
Source: RNAcentral